GAUGAACGCUAGCGGGAGGCCUAAUACAUGCAAGUCGAACGGUAAGGUUCCUUCGGGAAUACACGAGUGGCGCACGGGUGAGUAACGCGUACACAACCUACCUCUUACAGGGAGAUAGCCCCGGGAAACUGGGAUUAAUACCCCAUGGUUUUUAGAAAUGGCAUCAUUUUUAAAAUAAAACUCCGGUGGUAAGAGAUGGGUGUGCGUUAGAUUAGAUAGUUGGUGAGGUAACGGCUCACCAAGUCUGCGAUCUAUAGCUGGUCUGAGAGGAUGAUCAGCCACACUGGAACUGAGACACGGUCCAGACUCCUACGGGAGGCAGCAGUAGGGAAUAUUGGACAAUGGACGAAAGUCUGAUCCAGCCAUCCCGCGUGCAGGAAUAAGGCCCUAUGGGUUGUAAACUGCUUUUAUUAGGGAAGAAAUCAUUGGAUUUAUCCGAUGUUGACGGUACCUAACGAAUAAGCACCGGCUAACUCCG
This 478-nucleotide ribosomal RNA is filed under the name uncultured Bacteroidota bacterium. RNAcentral describes it as "bacterial SSU rRNA". It matches the Rfam family "Bacterial small subunit ribosomal RNA", at positions 28 to 505 of the family's 1533-position model. The record is from RNAcentral. Lineage: Bacteria; Pseudomonadati; Bacteroidota.